Molecule: long non-coding RNA, 561 nt
Filed under: Setaria viridis
Lineage: Eukaryota; Viridiplantae; Streptophyta; Magnoliopsida; Poales; Poaceae
Description: long non-coding RNA (SVIR_LNC010819)
Source: RNAcentral
UGAAAUUUAAAUGAUUUUGUCAUGUCAUUUCAAUCUGAACUUUUUAGUACUGUAUUUCAAUUUAAGCUUGCUUGUUUUGAAAUUAUUUUGUUUCAAGAAACAAAGUGACAAAAUGUACUGUUAUGUAUUAUAAUUGUAUUGAUGAAACCCUAUGUCCAUUUUUCAUGUAAUAUGAUGGAGAUGGACUGGAACGGAUAUACAACGCAGAUAGACGGACCACGGAGUUUGUUGAUAGCUUCCAUUAUUUUCUCAAAUUGGCCAAAGCCAACAAGUCAGGAAAGCUAACUCCAAAAUCAAUUAAGAACCUAAAUCAAUUAAUCAACAGGGUUAUUAAGAAGCAAAUCAAAGGUAACUCCAAAUUGCUAAGAGUUAAGAUCCAAAAACACCCUAGAUUUUGACCAAUAUAUAAGUGGUAGCCCUUCCACUCAUAGUACUUCCUCUGACUUUUAGCAGAGAGCGUUCCAAAAACUGAGUAGAAGUUCAGUCAAAUUUCAAGUCAAAUUCAAAAAUAGCUUUGACCAUCAUUCCACAAAAGUUCCCACAAUCCUAUCUCCACAUCCG